RNAcentral lists this ribosomal RNA (1378 nucleotides) under bacterium. Its description in RNAcentral is "bacterial SSU rRNA". It matches the Rfam family "Bacterial small subunit ribosomal RNA". The record is from RNAcentral.
UGUGCCGAGCGGUAGUAGAUCUUUCGGGAUCUUGAGAGCGGCGUACGGGUGCGGAACACGUGUGCAACCUGCCUUUAUCUGGGGGAUAGCCUUUCGAAAGGAAGAUUAAUACCCCAUAAUAUACUGAAUGGCAUCAUUCUGUAUUGAAAACUCCGGUGGAUAGAGAUGGGCACGCGCAAGAUUAGAUAGUUGGUGAGGUAACGGCUCACCAAGUCUACGAUCUUUAGGGGGCCUGAGAGGGUGAUCCCCCACACUGGUACUGAGACACGGACCAGACUCCUACGGGAGGCAGCAGUGAGGAAUAUUGGACAAUGGGUGAGAGCCUGAUCCAGCCAUCCCGCGUGAAGGACGACGGCCCUAUGGGUUGUAAACUUCUUUUGUAUAGGGAUAAACCUACCCUCGUGAGGGUAGCUGAAGGUACUAUACGAAUAAGCACCGGCUAACUCCGUGCCAGCAGCCGCGGUAAUACGGAGGGUGCAAGCGUUAUCCGGAUUUAUUGGGUUUAAAGGGUCCGUAGGCGGAUCUGUAAGUCAGUGGUGAAAUCUCACAGCUUAACUGUGAAACUGCCAUUGAUACUGCAGGUCUUGAGUGUUGUUGAAGUAGCUGGAAUAAGUAGUGUAGCGGUGAAAUGCAUAGAUAUUACUUAGAACACCAAUUGCGAAGGCAGGUUACUAAGCAACAACUGACGCUGAUGGACGAAAGCGUGGGGAGCGAACAGGAUUAGAUACCCUGGUAGUCCACGCCGUAAACGAUGCUAACUCGUUUUUGGAAUGUAAGUUUCAGAGACUAAGCGAAAGUGAUAAGUUAGCCACCUGGGGAGUACGAACGCAAGUUUGAAACUCAAAGGAAUUGACGGGGGCCCGCACAAGCGGUGGAUUAUGUGGUUUAAUUCGAUGAUACGCGAGGAACCUUACCAAGGCUUAAAUGGGAAAUGACAGGUUUAGAAAUAGACUUUUCUUCGGACAUUUUUCAAGGUGCUGCAUGGUUGUCGUCAGCUCGUGCCGUGAGGUGUUAGGUUAAGUCCUGCAACGAGCGCAACCCCUGUCACUAGUUGCCAUCAUUAAGUUGGGGACUCUAGUGAGACUGCCUACGCAAGUAGAGAGGAAGGUGGGGAUGACGUCAAAUCAUCACGGCCCUUACGCCUUGGGCCACACACGUAAUACAAUGGCCGGUACAGAGGGCAGCUACACUGCGAAGUGAUGCAAAUCUCGAAAGCCGGUCUCAGUUCGGAUUGGAGUCUGCAACUCGACUCUAUGAAGCUGGAAUCGCUAGUAAUCGCGCAUCAGCCAUGGCGCGGUGAAUACGUUCCCGGGCCUUGUACACACCGCCCGUCAAGCCAUGGAAGUCUGGGGUACCUGAAGUCGGUGACCGUAGUCAG